UGGUCCUGUUAAUGCAGGUACUGGUCCUGUUAAUGCAGGUACUGGUCCUGUUAAUGCAGGUACUGGUCCUGUUAAUGUAGGUACUGGUCCUGUUAAUGCAGGUACUGGUCCUGCUGGUCC
Austrofundulus limnaeus is the source of this 120-nucleotide long non-coding RNA. RefSeq lists it as uncharacterized. The transcript has 3 exons. NCBI's taxonomy places the organism in Eukaryota, Metazoa, Chordata, Actinopteri, Cyprinodontiformes, Rivulidae. The record is from RefSeq and is a predicted model, not a curated record.